RNAcentral lists this ribosomal RNA (878 nucleotides) under Rhynchosporium graminicola. RNAcentral describes it as "partial large subunit ribosomal RNA". It matches the Rfam family "Eukaryotic large subunit ribosomal RNA", at positions 42 to 937 of the family's 3401-position model. The record is from RNAcentral. Lineage: Eukaryota; Fungi; Ascomycota; Leotiomycetes; Helotiales; Ploettnerulaceae.
AUCAAUAAGCGGAGGAAAAGAAACCAACAGGGAUUACCUCAGUAACGGCGAGUGAAGCGGUAACAGCUCAAAUUUGAAAGCUAGCUCUUUGAGGGUUCGCAUUGUAAUUUGUAGAAGAUGCUUCGGGUGUGGCCCCGGUCUAAGUUCCUUGGAACAGGACGUCAUAGAGGGUGAGAAUCCCGUAUGUGACUGGGUGCUUUCGCUCAUGUGAAGCUCUUUCGACGAGUCGAGUUGUUUGGGAAUGCAGCUCUAAAUGGGUGGUACAUUUCAUCUAAAGCUAAAUAUUGGCCAGAGACCGAUAGCGCACAAGUAGAGUGAUCGAAAGAUGAAAAGCACUUUGGAAAGAGAGUUAAACAGUACGUGAAAUUGUUGAAAGGGAAGCGCUUGCAACCAGACUUGCGCGCUGAUGAUCAUCCGGGCUUCUGCCCGGUGCACUCGUCUGCGCUCAGGCCAGCAUCGGUUUCGGUGGUGGGAUAAAGGCCUUGGGAAUGUAGCUCCUCUCGGGGAGUGUUAUAGCCCUCGGUGCAAUGCCGCCUACCGGGACCGAGGACCGCGCUUCGGCUAGGAUGCUGGCGUAAUGGUUGUAAGCGACCCGUCUUGAAACACGGACCAAGGAGUCUAACAUCUAUGCGAGUGUUUGGGUGUCAAACCCAUACGCGUAAUGAAAGUGAACGGAGGUGAGAACCCUUAAGGGUGCAUCAUCGACCGGUCCUGAUGUCUUCGGAUGGAUCUGAGUAAGAGCAUAGCUGUUGGGACCCGAAAGAUGGUGAACUAUGCGUGAAUAGGGUGAAGCCAGAGGAAACUCUGGUGGAGGCUCGCAGCGGUUCUGACGUGCAAAUCGAUCGUCAAAUUUGCGUAUAGGGGCGAAAGACUAAUCG